Molecule: long non-coding RNA, 491 nt
Filed under: Elaeis guineensis (African oil palm)
Lineage: Eukaryota; Viridiplantae; Streptophyta; Magnoliopsida; Arecales; Arecaceae
Description: long non-coding RNA (EGUI_LNC030888)
Source: RNAcentral
UGCUAAGACCAAGGUAGUACAAAUUCUCUUGACCCACUACCAAAAGCUCACCCUGAUGGAUCGAGACGGGUGUGAUCUGUAACCCAAUGAAUCGAUCAUCCGCACAUCCAGUACAUUUUCAGGGAUGGAUACCAAACAGAUGUUCCCUUCGACCUCUACUAAUUUGAGUCGAUGCCAUUGACGCACACUGAUUGCAUCAUGGAGGGGAAUUGGGGUUAAGAACUUCUCAUCUUUCAGAUCGAACAAUCCAAUUUUUCGGUCAGUCUUAUUCAGAAUAUACACGACUCCAUUUACACUGAUGCCAUCACCAUCGCUAGAAGUAAAAGUUUUUGUCGCCAUCGUAAAUCCGCCUCCGCCUCCAGAUGCCGGCGCCGAAUGUGACAACCUCAUAAAACGCCUCCGCUGUAGAGCCCCUUCGUGAAACCCGAGAUCGGAGUACCUUGUAUUCCUCGGUCACCGGCUGAUAUCCGAGAAAGCACUUGUGGGAGCGA